RNAcentral lists this long non-coding RNA (245 nucleotides) under Olea europaea (common olive). RNAcentral's name for it is "long non-coding RNA (OEUR_LNC005164)". Lineage: Eukaryota; Viridiplantae; Streptophyta; Magnoliopsida; Lamiales; Oleaceae. The record is from RNAcentral.
AAUUCCCGUUUUACCGUUCGCACCAUUGUUUGAUUGUUUUUGCAAGACAAAAAAAAAUCCUAAUUACAAGUUUUAUAAUGAUAUUGAUUACAAUAUUCUUUUGUUUUUCAGGAUCCAUCUUGUGUGAUCUCUACUUCUGUUGAUGAAAGAAGUCAUGAAGUCUGAAAAAUGACAAAUUUUGAAUCAAAAAAUGAAUUUUAGUACAAUGACAAUGUAAUUUUAAUUGCAAUUGUUCUUUUUUUUUU